This is a long non-coding RNA of Carassius carassius (crucian carp), 1056 nucleotides long. RefSeq lists it as uncharacterized. The record is from RefSeq and is a predicted model, not a curated record. Lineage: Eukaryota; Metazoa; Chordata; Actinopteri; Cypriniformes; Cyprinidae. The transcript is spliced from 3 exons.
UCAUAUUUGGCAUAAAACAUAAAACUGAUGAGAGUUCUUCUGCUUAAACAGAAUCUGCCCAAGAUCAAAAUCAAACUGAAUCUGCCCAAGAUCAAAAUGAACCAGAAGAGAAAUAUCAGAAACAGCCAUGUGAGGAAACAUUGGAGAUGCACAUGAUUUUGUCUGUUACAUCCAUCCUGCUGAAUUUUGUGCUGAUCAUUGCAAUAAUUGGUUUGUUAAUUCUCAAACCUAAGAAGCCUAGAAAAAGUCGACAACAAGCCAAGAAUCUCCAACCAGAGCAGAUCGAGGACUUAAACAAUGCACAGUUUUCUGAAGUGGAGUUUCAUCUGUUUCACCCGAACAACAACACUUUUGUUCCUUUUCAAAAGCCAAAGACAAAACCUAGACAAAUAUAAUCAAGAUUAUUUCAUAUGCUAAAUAAUGUGUAUAAUAUUGUUAACUGAUGUUUGUUACCUAAACAUGUAUGUAAUACAAAAUUUGAAAUGUUUUCAGCAUGAAUUUAUUUGCUUUUGAUAAUUAAGUCUCUUAAAUAAAAUCCAUAAAUCUUAAUUCUGUAUGUUUAUAUUGAGUGGCUUCAUUCUUUGACUUUGGGCUUUUAUAAUAAUGUAAAUAAUCAAGUAAAAUUAUGAUUUUUUUUUUUAUGUUUUUGAAAGUUGUAAAACAGAAAAAUAAAUAUUAUGAACUACUAUAAUUUCAAUUAACUGUUUUAGAAGAGAAUAUAUAUGACUGGACUGGUUGCUUGUUUAUAUUGUAAGAUAAAUGUAAAUGUUUAUUUGUUUGCUCUAGAUUUGUUUAUGUGUGAUGUUAAUAUCCAAAUUGUAAGUUAAUGUUUUAAGGGUUUAUUAACAUAUUUCAAUGUCAAUAAAUAGGGCUACUGUAUUUGACAGCAUAUAAACGUAUGUAAUGCUGUGUGCUGUAGUGAGUCUUUUGGUUAUUUGUAUUUAAAGUCUUCAUUCUCUUGCUAUGGUCUGUUUUCUCACAGCUGUGGGUUUGUUGUCUUGAACUCUAGUCUGGUUCAAGUUUUUGUAAAAGUCACUCACUGUGAAACACUAUAAA